Molecule: ribosomal RNA, 309 nt
Filed under: uncultured Chroococcales cyanobacterium
Lineage: Bacteria; Bacillati; Cyanobacteriota; Cyanophyceae; Chroococcales
Description: bacterial SSU rRNA
Rfam family: Bacterial small subunit ribosomal RNA
Source: RNAcentral
UGGGGAAUUUUCCGCAAUGGGCGAAAGCCUGACGGAGCAACGCCGCGUGUGGGAAGAAGGCUCUUGGGCUGUCAACCACUUUUCUCAGGGAAGAAGUCCCUGACGGUACCUGAGGAAUCAGCCUCGGCUAACUCCGUGCCAGCAGCCGCGGUAAUACGGAGGAGGCAAGCGUUAUCCGGAAUUAUUGGGCGUAAAGCGUCCGCAGGGGGCGCAUCAAGUCUGCUGUUAAAGGUCGGAGCUAAACUCCGGUAGAGCAGUGGAAACUGGUGCGCUAGAGGGCGACAGGGGUAGAGGGAAUUUCCCAGUGUA